GGGUUUCACCAUAUUGGCCAGGCUGAUCUCGCACUCCUGACCUCGUGAUCUGCCUGCCUCGACCUCCCAAAGUGUUGGGAUUACAGGCGUGAGCCACCGUGCCUGGCCCCUAUGCAACAUUUUUGAUGAAAAAAAACUCAACUGACUUUUGAAGAUAAAAGGAAGAGCCAGAGUGGCCAAAGGAAAUAGCAACACAGAGAACUUAGUCUAUUGAAUGAACAAAUAACUCAUUCACCAACAAGGCUGCUACCUCUUAGGAUCUGCUGGGAACAUGUGGCGUCGGACCCCUGUCAGAGAGUAAAUCUCAAGUAAGGUACCUGCCAUCGGCAGAUUUGAGCUUUCUUCUUGGACACCUAAUACCCACAGUCCUCCAGGCUCCGGUAGACUGCAAAUGACCUGCUUUCUUUCUGUUCCCGGGCUGCGUUUGGACCCCUGUCGGAUAGUAAAUCCCAAGUAAGGUACCUGCCCUCGGCAGAUUUGAGCUUUCUUCUUGGACACCUAAUACCCACAGUCCCCCAGGCUCCGGUAGACUGCAAAUGACCUGCUUUCUUUCUGUUCCCGGGCUGCGUUUGGACCCCUGUCGGACAGUAAAUCCCAAGUAAGGUACCUGCCCUCGGCAGAUUUGAGCUUUCUUCUUGGACACCUAAUACCCACAGUCCUCCAGGCUGUAGAUGAAGGGGUUCAGCAUGGAGGUGAUCACCGUGUACAUCACUGAGGCCACUGCAGCCUUUCUCGGGGAAGAUGACACAUCUGAACUGAGGUACCCUCCAAAGCCUGUUCCGUAAAAUCAGCAAACAACUGACAGGAUAACUUCAGGAAGUGGGUAUUAAUUCUCACGGUAUAAGUGAAGACAUUAAGCACCAGAGUUUAAGUAGCUUGAUCCACUGAAAGAGAUUCAACUGUGUGGAACCUAUGCCGUGGAGAAUUGCUUUCUGCCAUUGUUAUCGUCCAGCAGUUGCCGAAUAGCUCUGACCUGAGCAAAGCAGUGAAACGCGGUGCUGUUGAGUGGGUUGCCACUGCACCUUUUUCAACUACUCUAGUCUUGU
Molecule: long non-coding RNA, 1046 nt
Organism: Homo sapiens (human)
Lineage: Eukaryota; Metazoa; Chordata; Mammalia; Primates; Hominidae
Product: long intergenic non-protein coding RNA 1198
Source: Ensembl